ACCUGGCUGGCUCAGCUGGUAGAGCAUGUGACUCUUGAUCUCAAGGUUGUGGGUUCAAGCCCCAUGUUGGGUG
Molecule: transfer RNA, 73 nt
Filed under: Felis catus (domestic cat)
Lineage: Eukaryota; Metazoa; Chordata; Mammalia; Carnivora; Felidae
Description: tRNA-Lys (CTT) (tRNA-Lys-CTT-18-1)
Rfam family: tRNA
About the family: Transfer RNA (tRNA) molecules are approximately 80 nucleotides in length.
Source: Rfam by way of RNAcentral